Molecule: non-coding RNA, 31 nt
Filed under: Homo sapiens (human)
Lineage: Eukaryota; Metazoa; Chordata; Mammalia; Primates; Hominidae
Source: RNAcentral
UGGGUCAGGCAUCUUAAUUAAUUAGACUUUU